AACGAACGCUGGCGGCAUGCCUAACACAUGCAAGUCGAACGAGACCUUCGGGUCUAGUGGCGCACGGGUGCGUAACGCGUGGGAACCUGCCCUUAGGUUCGGAAUAACUCCCCGAAAGGGGUGCUAAUACCGGAUAAUGUCUUCGGACCAAAGAUUUAUCGCCUUUGGAUGGUCCCGCGUUGUAUUAGCUAGUUGGUAGGGUAAAAGCCUACCAAUGCGACGAUCCAUAGCUGGUCUGAGAGGAUGAUCAGCCACACUGGGACUGAGACACGGCCGAGAAUACUACGGGAGGCAGCAGUGGGGAAUAUUGGAAAAUGGGGGAAAGGCUGAACGAGCAAUGCCGCGUGAGUGAUGAAGGCCUUAGGGUAGUAAAGCUCUUUUACACGGGAUGAUAAUGACAGUACCGGGAGAAUAAGCACCGGCUAACUCCGUG
This 433-nucleotide ribosomal RNA is filed under the name uncultured bacterium. RNAcentral's name for it is "partial 16S ribosomal RNA". It matches the Rfam family "Bacterial small subunit ribosomal RNA", at positions 29 to 507 of the family's 1533-position model. The record is from RNAcentral.